CCGGAGCUGCUUGGACUGAGGGACAGACCAACCGACAGACGUGCAGAUUCCUCAAGCCCAGAGUUCCGCAGCCACCGUCCCCUGCAGCCCGACGGCAGGGUCCCUGAGAUGGCUAAGGGCGCACCGCGAGGGUGUUGGGAGACAGCGCAGGUGAACAGAAUGGUGGGACUCUACCUUCACACGGUUUUCUUUCUGGUGGGAAAGCCACCGAGUAAAGAGGAUAUCAGAGAGUUAUGGGAAAUAAAGAAAAUGAGCCGAGCGGUGCCACAGCUGUGACUCGAGUCAGGAGAGGAGCUGGAGGAGGAAGAAGAGGUGCCAGCUACCAUGAAGAGAAGGGACAAGCCCCCUAAGCCAGGGUCUGGCAAGCACAAACUGCGGUUCAGGCCACUGCACUCGAGCCUCGCUUGAUCUUCUGCAGUCUCUCAGGAGGCACCUUUUAGCCUGUGUGCAAGUAGCUUCAGACAUUCAGCUGCAGAAAGAAGCAAAGAGUGGAAUCCAGAGGCUCAUGACCCUCCUUUCUUGGCUUCGACCAGCCUGGCCAAUGUGAAUAUGAAAGAAACAAGGGCUCAAUACGUAGCCCUGACUGGCCUGAAACUUACUACAUAAACCAGGCUGAGCUUGAACCAGCAGAGAUCCAUCUACUCCUGCUUCCCGAGUGCUAGGAUUAAAGUCCUUAACAGGUGACAGCACUGGGACCCUGAGUCAGGAAACCGCUAGUGUACAGCUGCAGCUUGACCAGGCUUGACCUAACAAUACAGAGGAGGGUCAAGGUUAUGUCAGAAUUUGAAUUACUGAACAAGCUGACCCUGAGAUGGAGGGCCACAGCAGGACCCUGGGGGAGAUUGCAGAGCUGCACUGCCCUAGACAAUGGCUCAGGAUGUUAUGUCUCUCUCACAAGGGAAGAUGUUGCAGUCAGAAGUGUCCAGGUAGCAGCGGCAGGACAGUCCUACAAGGGAGACGUCUAUGGUAGGCACUGCUGAAGAGUAGCUCAAAAACCCUUGGGAUACACCCUCCUUCAGAACAAGUCUGAAACUUCUGUUGAACCCAAACCAGAGGGAGAAACUUCUCAGAGAAAGCCUUUUGAGGAUUUUGUGGUGGAGAAUUGGUUCAGCAGGACAGGGGCUUGAGGUGAGCUGGCUGCAGGGACAGUCAGCAGGAAGAAAAGGUCCAUGUCCUGGAAGCAUCAGACAGCAGGAGGGACUGCUCCCACCUAGCACUCUUAGCACUUACCAAGCUCAGCUGGGAAGGGGUGUCAUUGCGCCUAGCUUUGUUACAGCCACAAAUAGAUGGACUGCAGUGUUGGGUCACACCUAGAGCAGUCUGAGGAGCCCGAGGUUUUUAUUUGGCCACACAUAGAGGGAAGGGCAACAAGAGGAACAGGCAUGUGGGGUGAACUGAAUUAGAUCCUCGGGUCCUGACCCGGCCUUCUUCCAGCUUCUCUGCUCAUGAACUGAAAGCCAAGAGAGCCUUAAAUUCUUGCUCCGCACUUCAGGCUGAGCUCCCAAGGGAAGCCUGGGAUCAGGACAUCUCAUACCCUUGGCCUAUGUCAACUUGUCCCAGAUGAAUGACUUCAGACAUCUGCUUCCUACACCCUCCAAAGGAACUCGGCAAGUUCAAUCCUCCCCCAAGCUCGAUUCCCAGCUUCCCAGACCCUCAAGCUCCAACGUAGAGACAAGGACAAAGAAGGUCAAGUAUGUGUCUCACCACAAAUGCACCUGACUUCAGCCUGUGGCCUCGCCAGUGCCAGCUCUGCCCAGGGUGGGUCGCCUGUCCCAACUCAGGCUGCUGGGUCACAGCUUUGCUAUGUGUUUGUUUCUGAGCAGGCUGAUUUCGGCAGUGACUGAGCUUGGAAGCUAUAAAUAUUGGAAGCCAUAAAGCUUGGUGAUAAACUUGUCAGUGAGACUGUGGGUCAGGCCCUAGUGUCACUCAGGUGCCGAUCCUGAGUGUCUUCCUCAGCCAGGUAGAACUGCUGGGUCCCACUUCUCCUAGUACCCUUGGCAAACCUGCCUGAAAUGCACUGGAAGCCAUGUGCUUCCCAGGGUCCUUUAUGCUGAACCAUAAGAACCCUGGGUUGAUAGGGGGCAGGGGCAGGCUAGCCUAGCCAUUUUCUGAAGCCCUUUCUGAAUCUCUGGGCUAGAAACACUGGGAUUUGAUGACACCGAUGUCCCUCUGGGGGCCUACUUCCUAGGGGAUGGUUUUCAUGUGGCAGCCAUGUGGUCAGAAAGUCUGGAGAGUCGGGUCCUGUGUUCUCAGCCGUGACGUUUGCAGUCACAUCAGGCAUGUCAUGGGACCACGUGCCCUGCCUGCCCCAAGGACACCAGGCAGAACUCAAGUAAGAUGCUGUAUCUAGAGAACUGACACAAGUGCAAGGUCCCACAUGACAGUGGAGCAGCACGUCCUGAGUUCAACCCGGUGUGCCUUUACCCAGUGCCGGUCUGACAAUGGUGGGGCACCAGAGACACAGAGCCAGGUAAGGAGACACGGGAGGAGACACGGGUGAGGAGACACGGGAGGAGACAUGGGUGAGGAGACACGGGAGGAGACACGGGUGAGGAGACAAGGGAGGAGACACAGGAGGAGACACAGGGGAGGAGACACGGGAGGAGACACGGGUAAGGGAGGCUCAGCGGUUUCGGUCCUUAUGGUGGUAAGCAGUGACAGCAAGAGUGACCCUCGCUCCCCUCACCAACUGCUCACUGCAUCCCAGGCUUGAACAAACCCUUCGGGUGCCUUUCACCUUUCAACACGUUAUCAUUCCCAUACAGAGAGGAGGAAACUGAGGGAUGAAGUCAUGGGCCAUGGUCAACCAGCCAAGUUGUGGUAGAUCAACUGAUUCCAGAGUCUCUCCUCUCCAAACGACCAUGUCCUCUUCCACAUUUUCUAGCAUGUAUGGUUAUUUUUUUCAUGUUUAGGU
This is a long non-coding RNA of Nannospalax galili (Upper Galilee mountains blind mole rat), 2914 nucleotides long. RefSeq lists it as uncharacterized. Lineage: Eukaryota; Metazoa; Chordata; Mammalia; Rodentia; Spalacidae. The transcript has 9 exons. The record is from RefSeq and is a predicted model, not a curated record.